CCUACGGGGGGCUGCAGUGGGGAAUAUUGGACAAUGGGCGAAAGCCUGAUCCAGCCAUGCCGCGUGUGUGAAGAAGGCCUUCGGGUUGUAAAGCACUUUCAGUGGGGAAGAAAGCCUUGGGGCUAAUACCCUCGAGGAAGGACAUCACCCACAGAGGAAGCACCGGCUAACUCCGUGCCAGCAGCCGCGGUAAUACGGAGGGUGCGAGCGUUAAUCGGAAUUACUGGGCGUAAAGCGCGCGUAGGCGGUCUGAUAAGCCGGUUGUGAAAGCCCCGGGCUCAACCUGGGAACGGCAUCCGGAACUGUCAGGCUAGAGUGCAGGAGAGGAAGGUAGAAUUCCCGGUGUAGCGGUGAAAUGCGUAGAGAUCGGGAGGAAUACCAGUGGCGAAGGCGGCCUUCUGGACUGACACUGACGCUGAGGUGCGAAAGCGUGGGUAGCAAACAGGAUUAGAUACCCGAGUAGUC
This 465-nucleotide ribosomal RNA is filed under the name Vreelandella stevensii. Its description in RNAcentral is "partial 16S ribosomal RNA". It matches the Rfam family "Bacterial small subunit ribosomal RNA", at positions 338 to 795 of the family's 1533-position model. Lineage: Bacteria; Pseudomonadati; Pseudomonadota; Gammaproteobacteria; Oceanospirillales; Halomonadaceae. The record is from RNAcentral.